UUUCAUGGGUUUGGGGUAGUGCUGGUAGUCUGUGUUUACGUGUCAUUGGAAUUUUUUAUAUUUUUUUUUCCUUUUUAAUAAGUAUUUUUCAUUUUCUUGAAGCUAUAACUUGUCUCGGCGUCCAGCAAAUUUGACAUCCCUUUGGGGAUUAGAUCUCUGUAUAACGAGUUUACUAUGAAUUUUUUUUAAUAUCCUGUCUAAAAUAUACUAGCAAUUGUUACAAGCAUAUGCAUAGUUUCAUUUUUAGUGCAUAGGUUCCUCAGUAAAUAGUGAAUCCGCACAGGUUCAUGUUUAGUUCAGAAUUGUUAAUAUUAUAAUAUUUAUUGUUUUAUAGUAUAAUAUUCUAAUUCUUUGUAAUAUAAUUUGUUAUGAUGCAAUGCGUCUAUUCCAUCUAUAAAUUUCAUUAUUGAUUAACCCAAAAACUAUACUUAGGGUGUGUGUUUCCAUCUAAUCCUGUUUCGAUUAGGUUUCUCUUUUGUUUCAUUGUAAAUGCUAUUUGUGUUUCCAUGAGUGUUUUUCGGGGUUCUCUUUGAUUUCUCCAUGGCAUUAGGUUAUUUUUUUUAUUGGUAUAAUGUCAAUUUAACUUUCUUCCAUAAAUACAAUUUGGAUCCACAAUAACAGAACAUAGUCUCUCUCUGAUUUCCUACAUGUUCAAGCUGUUCAUCUUUGAUGAUAGAACCUAAACUGCAACUGAAGAUUUAACUGAAAAGCAAAACAAGUAUAUGAGGAAUAAAAAGCUAAAAAGUUGAAAUCACUAUCGGGCAAUUUUGUUUCUUAUUUUAUGUUUAAGCAUUUGGUAAUUUGCUUUUGAUCUCAAUUUCUGUUUAUAGAUUUGAUUCUGUUAAAUGUUGUUACCAUGCGUAUUUGGUGCUUCAUGAAAUUAUGUUUUAUUGCCCCAGAAAAUAUGAUUCCUGCUCAAUUUUAAAGAAAUGGGUGAAGAGGACAUUCAACAAAUUACAAGAAGAACAACUCGGUCCUUUUCUUCCUCUGCUGCUACAGGCAAUGAGGCUGAGAAAACAAAAAUAAGUGAAUCGUACGCUCCCAACCUCAAAGAUCUCAUUUUUGGAGGGGAUCACCUUAGCUAUGACGAUCUGCUAUCUAGUUUUCCCACUAGAGGUGUCCAGAUUUCUCAGAUAGUACAUCUUUUGGGUCCCUUGAACGCCCCCAUGCUUCCUAUAUUUAUUUAUGGAGGUGCUUCAACUGGAAAAACCAGUAUUAUUCUCCAAAUUUUUAGACAUCUCAAUCGCCCUUUGGUUUAUGCAAGCUACCGGACUUGUUAUAGUCCUUGCCUCUUUUUUGAAUCCAUUUUAAAUCAGUUGUUGCUUUAUAAAAAGAAUGCAGUCAAUGGCUAUUCAAGUUCAAAACGCUGUGAAAAGCCAUCUGAUUUUGUUAAUUUUCUCCAUGAAUCUUUGCUGAGUGUCAUCAAUGAUCUCAAAGUGAACACAAGGAAAUUGAGCUCUAAUAAGUUGGCUGGGCAGCCCAAUGGAAGUAUGGUCUACUUGAUACUUGACAAUUUGGAGCUUGUUCGCGAUUGGGAUAAAAGUUCUACUAUAUUACCUUUUAUGUUUAACCUUUAUGAUAUUUUGAAGAUGCCUGAAGUGGGACUCAUAUAUAUUAGCAAUACUUCACCUGAUACAUAUUACUCCAAUGUGGGAUAUGUGGAGCCUAUUCCUGUUUAUUUUCCUGAAUACACAGAAGAAGAUCUUCGCCAAAUUUUCUUGAGAAACCAAGCAAAUCAAAAGCUCUACUCAUCCUUUCUUGAUGUUGUCCUCAAACCAUUUUGUAGAGUUACCAGACGAGUAGAUGAUUUAUCUACUACCUUUUCAUCAUUGUUUAGAAAAUAUUGUGAACCCUUGAAUGACUUGGAACAUGUACCCAAUGAAGAGAUGAAGAGAAGGUUGUUCAGUCAUUUUCAACCACACAUUGCCCUUUCUUUGAAUGAGAUAUUCGAGGUUCACUCUUGGCCUCUCCUUGAAGUUGAAUCCAACAAGGAGAAAAAGCGGAAAAGUAGCAUAAGAAAGUCAGGAGGCUGUGAAGAUUUUGCCGAGUUAGAUUUUCAUAUGUCUACUUCUGCAAAGUAUCUUCUUAUUUCAGCAUUCCUUGCUUCAAGAAACCCAGCUACUCUUGAUGCAUCUUUGUUUGAUUCAACUGCAGGUUCAGAUAGUCACAAACGUAAGAGGAAGGCUUCUGUAAAAUCAUUAGAGCAGAAGGAAGCUGCAGAACAGGAAUUACUUGUGAAAGGACCUGGAACUUUCCCAUUGGAGAGGUUAUUAGCUAUUUUUCAAUGUAUAUCAUCUGUAGUGGAAGGUCCACUUGAUGAAGAAAAUGAAAAUGAUGUCCUAAGAUUUGAAAGUGGGGAUAGUGGGUUCAUGUCUGAUGUUCUAAUGCAAUUGUCCAGCCUCUGUAAUGCUAAUUUUAUUAUUAAAGGAGGAAGCUGCCCUUUGGAGGGUUCAACUCGGUAUCGUUCUAUGAUUACUGAAGAUAUGGCUUUGAAGGUAGCUAGGAGCCUGAAGUUUCCUCUGCCAAACUACUUAUACAGAAGAUAAUGUCAAGUGUGGUCAUUAAGUAUUCGUCAAAGAUAAACCAUACAGAAGCUUGAGAGGUGAAGAUAACCAAACAUUGGACAGAGGGAAGAGCUGUUGUGAGAUUCGUUUAGUGGAGACUGACAGUAGACUAGUUAUCAAAGAGAGAAUUAUUUGUAUCUGUAUUGGAAAAACAAAAUGGAGAAAUAAUGCUUUGGUCACAUCUUGAAGCUAUAUUCCAGUUUCAGAAGCAGGUUGCUGGUCAGGCAGAUGAGAUGGACUAGUUUGAAACAAGUGUCCAGAGCAUCUUCUUAAUUUUUCCAUCUAUUUUAUUAAUAUCUGAUUCUACAUUACGUCUUAAGAGGAUGUUUGUUGUCCUACUAGAAAUAAUAUAUAUAAAUAUCCUUAAAUAUGCAAUAUUAAUAGCUUA
Molecule: unclassified non-coding RNA, 2952 nt
Filed under: Hevea brasiliensis (rubber tree)
Lineage: Eukaryota; Viridiplantae; Streptophyta; Magnoliopsida; Malpighiales; Euphorbiaceae
Source: RNAcentral